ACGAACGCUGGCGGCGUGCUUAACACAUGCAAGUCGCACGGUAAGGCUCCAGCUUGCUGGGGUACACGAGUGGCGAACGGGUGAGUAACACGUGGGUGACCUGCCCUGCACUUCGGGAUAAGCCUGGGAAACUGGGUCUAAUACCGGAUAGGACCAUGGUGUGGAUACUGUGGUGGAAAGUUUUUUCGGUGUGGGAUGGGCCCGCGGCCUAUCAGCUUGUUGGUGGGGUAAUGGCCUACCAAGGCGGCGACGGGUAGCCGGCCUGAGAGGGUGGACGGCCACAUUGGGACUGAGACACGGCCCAGACUCCUACGGGAGGCAGCAGUGGGGAAUAUUGCACAAUGGGCGGAAGCCUGAUGCAGCGACGCCGCGUGGGGGAUGACGGCCUUCGGGUUGUAAACUCCUUUCACCAUCGACGAAGGGUUUCUGACGGUAGAUGGAGAAGAAGCACCGGCUAACUACGUG
This 465-nucleotide ribosomal RNA is filed under the name uncultured bacterium. RNAcentral's name for it is "partial 16S ribosomal RNA". It matches the Rfam family "Bacterial small subunit ribosomal RNA", at positions 29 to 507 of the family's 1533-position model. The record is from RNAcentral.